UACCAGCUCUCCGAGUGGUAGGGAUGAUUAUUGGGCUUAAAGCGUCCGUAGCCGGCUUAGCAAGUUUCCUGUUAAAUUCAGCGACCUAAUCGUUGAGCCGCGGGAAAUACUACUAGGCUAGGAGGCGGGAGAGGUCGACGGUACUUCUGGGGUAGGGGUGAAAUCCUAUAAUCCCGGGAGGACCACCAGUGGCGAAGGCUGUCGACUAGAACGCGCUCGACGGUGAGGGACGAAAGCUGGGGGAGCGAACCGGAUUAGAUACCCGGGUAGUCCCAGCUGUAAACGAUGCGGGCUAGGUGUUGGGGUGGCUACGUGCCACUUCAGUGCCGCAGGGAAGCCAUUAAGCCCGCCGCCUGGGGAGUACGGCCGCAAGGCUGAAACUUAAAGGAAUUGGCGGGGAGCACCACAAGGGGUGAAGCUUGCGGUUU
Molecule: ribosomal RNA, 428 nt
Filed under: uncultured archaeon
Lineage: Archaea
Description: bacterial SSU rRNA
Rfam family: Archaeal small subunit ribosomal RNA
Source: RNAcentral